CCUAACCCUUAUUGAGAUAUCCUUAGCUAAGUGUUUACUAACCCUUUGGGAUUUUAGCACCAUGAGGGUUCUCAACAUUAUUUUGGUGCUCUUUGUUCUUCUUACCAUAGUGCAUGUAAAACAAAACAUGGCUGCUAGGGUCUUGAAUAUGGAGAAUAUCCCACUUAGGUUGCAAUCUCUUAAUAAGGGUCCUGUCCCUCCCUCAGGACCUUCUGGUUGCACAUACAUCCCAGGCUCUGGCAGCACGCAUUGUCCGGCCAAGAAAAUGAAUGGCACCGGCCGGCAACGCUAAGCACCACUAGCUAGGGUGGUGCUGAAACAAUUCAACACUGAUGUAUGAUGCCCCCUCAAACAUUGAAGUCUUUUCAAUUUGCUGGUUAAAGUUGAUCGAUCAGAGCAAAUUUUGUUGAGGGAGAACUCAAAGAACCUGUUUGUGUGUAACAAAUGAUGAUUCGUAGCUAGCAAGGGUUCUAUGGUCGGUCCGCCACCACCGGAUGCCAAAGGCGUCCUUGGAGUGAUCUCAUAGUUCUUAUGAGGUGGUUGGGGUAGAGAAUCCAUCACUAUCUUGGCUGUGCUAUCGAAGGCUCCAGAAAAGUUGGAAUAGGAAAGCACUAUGAAAAAAAUAUAUAGGAAUAAAAGAUAGAAUAUAGGAAAAAGAAAAAAAAAUGUUGAGGUUGUGAAAGAUAUUCUACUAAAAAUAUUUUUAGAAAUUCUAAUAAAAUUUGUAAUAUGAAUACCCUUAGCUUUACAUAUAUAUAAGGUGACAUUUUAGGAUUCUACAAUAUAACUAUUGUAUUUGUUGAACAAAGCAAUCAAACAAAAGAAAUAAAGAAAUACCUUUUGAGUUGUUCUUGCUCAA
Long non-coding RNA from Glycine soja, 859 nucleotides. RefSeq lists it as uncharacterized. The record is from RefSeq and is a predicted model, not a curated record. The transcript is spliced from 2 exons. NCBI's taxonomy places the organism in Eukaryota, Viridiplantae, Streptophyta, Magnoliopsida, Fabales, Fabaceae.